This is a small nuclear RNA of Orcinus orca (killer whale), 107 nucleotides long. Lineage: Eukaryota; Metazoa; Chordata; Mammalia; Artiodactyla; Delphinidae. The record is from RefSeq and is a predicted model, not a curated record.
GUGCUUGCUUGGGCAGCACAUAUACUAAAAUUAGAAAGAUACAGAGAGGAUUAGUAUGGCCCCUGCACAAGGAUGACAUGCAAAUUCAUGAAGUGUUCCAUAUUUAA